Molecule: ribosomal RNA, 355 nt
Filed under: uncultured bacterium
Lineage: Bacteria
Description: partial 16S ribosomal RNA
Rfam family: Bacterial small subunit ribosomal RNA
Source: RNAcentral
CCUACGGAGGCAGCAGUGGGGAAUACUGCACAAUGGGGGAAACCCUGAUGCAGCGACGCCGCGUGAGUGAAGAAGUAAUUCGUUACGUAAAGCUCUAUCAGCAGGGAAGAAACACUGACCUUACGGUCAGCAGACGGUACCUGAAGAAAAAGCAUCGGCUAACUCCGUGCCAGCAGCCGCGGUAAUACGGAGGAUGCGAGCGUUAUCCGGAUUUAUUGGGUUUAAAGGGUGCGUAGGCGGAAUGCCAAGUCAGCGGUAAAAUCGCGGGGCUCAACCUCGCUCCGCCGUUGAAACUGGCGUUCUUGAGUGGGCGAGAAGUAUGCGGAAUGCGUGGUGUAGCGGUGAAAUGCAUAGA